UGAAAUUAAUCUCCCCGUGAAGAAGCGGGGAUACUCAUAUAAGACGAGAAGACCCCAUGGAGCUUCAAACCCAACUACACCCCUAGCUCUUAUAGCCCCACAACCCCCCUAGGCACCGUGUGCUUGGUUUUAGGUUGGGGCGACCGCGGAGUACAAUAAAACCUCCACAAUGAAUGGGAACACCCCCUUAUCUGAGGGCCACACCCCCUAAGAAUUAGAACACUAACAUAAAAUGAUCCAUUAUUUGAUCAAUGAACCAAGUUACCCUGGGGAUAACAGCGCAAUCCAUUUCAAGAGCCCCUAUCGACAAAUGGGUUUACGACCUCGAUGUUGGAUCAGGGUACCCCAGUGGUGCAGCAGCUACUAACGGUUCGUUUGUUCAACGAUUAAAACCCU
This 396-nucleotide ribosomal RNA is filed under the name Mantidactylus melanopleura. RNAcentral's name for it is "partial 16S ribosomal RNA". It matches the Rfam family "Bacterial large subunit ribosomal RNA", at positions 2037 to 2597 of the family's 2925-position model. The record is from RNAcentral. Lineage: Eukaryota; Metazoa; Chordata; Amphibia; Anura; Mantellidae.